Molecule: long non-coding RNA, 2324 nt
Filed under: Homo sapiens (human)
Lineage: Eukaryota; Metazoa; Chordata; Mammalia; Primates; Hominidae
Description: HSALNT0339070
Source: RNAcentral
ACAUAGCAAGACCUCAUCUCUUUAAACAAACAAAAGAAUAAAAAAGCCUUAGCCCAGCCAUGGUACAGAAGAGGCCAAUGAGGGUUUGGCCCCUCACCUUGCCUGACACUUCAUCUUCUCCUCUAAACACGAUCAUUACCAGCUGCCUGUCAUCUGCCUAUAUGGAGACAUGUGGGCUGAUUUCUGCUUUGGUUGAAGUCUGGUCGUUCGUUCAGCAGAUAUGUAUUGAGCAUUUCUGUGCCAAAGGGAGUAAGAAAGAGAAAGGGCAACCACGGCCCUAACUGACCAUCAGUGGGAUGAGAGAGUGAUGGUGACUGCUGUGAGGAACAUGCGGCUCUGCAUGAGCGACAUGGGUCUGGGCCUGACCAGGCCGUGGUGGGGUCUUAUUGGCGGAGAUGGGGAGAACUUUACUCCAGGCCCAGAGAAUGACACGAGCAAAGCUGGGUGAAGGGUCAGCAAGUAGACAGGUGUGUCCAGAGCAGAAGGAAGCAGGACUUUGAAGAUAAAUAGACCCUGUUGAGGGCUUUGCAAUGCAGAACAAAACAAGGAGGGUGGAUUUUAUUUUGGAGACUUCCCCUACCCCCGUCCCUGGAGCUGUUGCUGGCGUAAUGGAGGGACACAGUGGGAUCACAUGCUGCUUGUGGGAGGGUGAAUUUUGUAGAUCCUUGAAAGGGAGUGGGAGGGAGGGAGAGAUCAGAUAUAGAAUAUCAAGGGAAUUGGAACACCUUGCCAAUGUAGUCACUAUGGCAAGUCAUUUCUAGUAACCUGGGGACAUGCCGUCCUCCUACAGCCCUCCCAGAGCCCGUUCGUACAAUGUUGCAGGUAUUUGCUGUGAUUACUUUUCCCAUUUUCCAGAAGACCUAGGUGGGAUUUGGCCUGAAGGAACCUGGUUCUAAGGGCAGGUUGGGGGCAAGAGGGGAGACGUGGGGCAGUAGUCAAAAGCGAGGAUGGCAGCAGCCAAGGAAGAGGCUUUGGUGAAGAGCGGCCGAAGCGAGACCAUAGGACACGAUCUUGGGCACGCGUGUCUAGGAGGCUGCCCCGGCCUGCUCCUCCUUCCUGUGGUGUGUGUGGGUGCCCUGGAGUAGAUCAUUGGGCAGUUGCUGCUUUGCUGCAUUCCCACCGGCCAGUGAAUUUGUUUUAGUCCUCAGGUGCUUUACAUAAGGAGGAAACCAUGUAACCUUCACAAGUUUUUUCCCAGUCAUUUAAAAAGGCUUGUUUUCCAGCCGAAGGCAUGUCGAAUAAGCUUAAUUUCUCUCACUCAGAUCAGCUUAAUUUCUCUGUGAUGUGCAUACAGAGAAUUGCUUAAUUCUCCUUUUGCAACAUGUUUUCCCAGCUGCUGAGAGCCCUGCUUUUUUUCCAUGGGCCUCCUGACAGAAAUACAAACAAUUUAAAGCCAUGCGGUACCAACUGCUCUUCGUCACCACAUGGACUGUGGAUGUCAGUGUGUUUCCCCUUGGGCUGGAUUUGUCUGGAGCUGGUGGCUGCUUUCUUGUCCUUCCGUGCCUCCUGGGAGUCAGGGAUCAAGGCCGUGCUGGGUUGUGCUGAGAGCCACAGCCCCUCCUUCAAGUGGGGUACCCUCCCUUCCCAGCCUAGUCCUACAUCCUUGUUGUGUGAGGAAAUGAAGUCUGUUCCUUGGAUGCGUUCUGACGGGAAACAUGUUUUCUGUGGCACCUCUGCUUAGUCUUUCAGUGCAACACAAACAGCCUUUUGAUACCUUGUUUUGUAAAAAGUACAUUUCCACAAUGGGGCUUGACACUGUUCAUAAAUAAACACAUCCGUUUACAGGCAAAGCAAGGGAAGAACACAUAAGGGAACAGUUUGACCAGGGGUUUUGCUUUUCCCUCUGUGAAUGCCUGGUGUGCACCAUCCAUCCGAGGAUGACUAGGGGAGAACACUAUUCUGUGGCUGCCAAAACCACAACAAAUGACAACUUUCCAUUCUGUCAUCUCUCUCGGCACCACUGCUAGCAAGCAAUUCAUUUUUCUACCAUAAAAGGGCAAUAGAACUUGUCUAUAGCUGCGGUGUCUUCUGCUCUGCAGAGAGAGAGCAGGAGACCGGCAGGGAGAGGCACUCUCAGCAGUAGGCGCAACCGUGCUCACCCCGUGCCUAACAGCCUUGCUUAGUCCGGGCUCCGAGGCAGCAGCAGCCAUAAGAAAAAACAGGAGAGGAAGGCGAUGUGGCGCUUCUGCCGGGCCCUCAGACUGGGGAGUGUGAGAGAAAUGGGGAUCCUGUUUUCUGUCCCAGCCCCCUUCAGGGUGGUUGUGAGAAGCAAAUGAGGCCGCAACAGAGUCAUACUCUGUCAACCCAGGCUGGAGUGCAGCAGC